RNAcentral lists this ribosomal RNA (253 nucleotides) under uncultured bacterium. RNAcentral describes it as "partial 16S ribosomal RNA". It matches the Rfam family "Bacterial small subunit ribosomal RNA", at positions 524 to 776 of the family's 1533-position model. The record is from RNAcentral.
UACGUAGGGGGCAAGCGUUAUCCGGAUUUACUGGGUGUAAAGGGAGCGCAGGCGGCGCGGUAAGUCUGAUGUGAAAGCCCGGGGCUCAACCCCGGGACUGCAUUGGAAACUGUCGUGCUGGAGUGUCGGAGGGGCAAGUGGAAUUCCUAGUGUAGCGGUGAAAUGCGUAGAUAUUAGGAGGAACACCAGUGGCGAAGGCGGCUUGCUGGACGACAACUGACGCUGAGGCUCGAAAGCGUGGGGAGCAAACAGG